GUGGGGAAUAUUGGGCAAUGGGGGCAACCCUGAUCCAGCGACGCCGCGUGAGUGAUGAAGGCCUUCGGGUCGUAAAGCUCUGUUGCAGGGGAAGAACACAAUGACGGUACCCUGCUAGAAAGGAUCGGCUAACUUCGUGCCAGCAGCCGCGGUAAGACGAGGGAUCCUAGCGUUGUUCGGAAUUAUUGGGCGUAAAGCGGGUGCAGGUGGCUUGGUAAGUCAGAUGUGAAAGCCUGGGGCUUAACCCCAGAAGUGCAUUUGAUACUGCUGAGCUUGAGUGCUGGAGAGGCUAUUAGAAUUCCUGGUGUAGUGGUGAAAUACGUAGAUAUCAGGAGGAAUACCGGAGGCGAAGGCGGAUAGCUGGCCAGACACUGACACUCAGACCCGAAAGCGUGGGGAUCAAACAGGAUUAGAAACCCGGGUAGUCC
This 428-nucleotide ribosomal RNA is filed under the name uncultured bacterium. RNAcentral describes it as "partial 16S ribosomal RNA". It matches the Rfam family "Bacterial small subunit ribosomal RNA", at positions 354 to 796 of the family's 1533-position model. The record is from RNAcentral.